This 404-nucleotide unclassified non-coding RNA is filed under the name fungal sp. RNAcentral describes it as "partial internal transcribed spacer region". The stretch from base 1 to 46 matches the Rfam family "Eukaryotic small subunit ribosomal RNA", at positions 1786 to 1831 of the family's 1831-position model. The record is from RNAcentral. Lineage: Eukaryota; Fungi.
AAGUCGUAACAAGGUUUCCGUAGGUGAACCUGCGGAAGGAUCAUUAACACGUUAUCCAACGUAACUACCAACGCGCAUUGUUUUCCCCACUCCCGCUGUCUCACAUGUAUCGGCUAAGUGCUCAGAGAAAUUUGGAGGGACGAGGCUUCGGCUGAGUCUUUUCUGGCACCGACCGGCUUGCGCAAGCAAGUCAAACGAUAGUAGUGAGCCGCGGCUAUCGCUGCAUUGCUGGAAAUCUCCGCCAAGAUUAUGAGCAUUGUGGCACAUUUAAUAACUAUUUUAACCCCUUUUUGCUAGUUGACUUUUUAAUCUGUUGAUGUUCUCACUUUAUUGCGAGGCUCAGCACGUUUGAUCUAAUUGAACGUUAAAUAAUACAACUCUUAGCAAUGGAUAUCUUGGUUCUC